GGCGGCUCCAGCAGGCGACGGCCACAGUCGGGGUUUGGGAUUCAGUUUUGUCUAGAUUGCUAGAAGAUGGAAGGAAAGGGAAAGGGACUAGUAAAUCCAAAGAAAAGAGGAAGAGAUUUGAAAAGGUUUUAGGUUGUUUUCCUAUUGAGACAUGUCUACAUUUUCAUUGUAUUUGGUUAUUCAUUCGUAGUGUGUAUUGACUCUUUGAUUCGUAUCAAAAAAAAUCUUAGUGAGACUUUGCCACACCUUAAUUUUUUUCCGUGGUCCACCUCUGUCUACACACAUGCGCAUAUACACCAAGAAAGAACACACAGGCUUUGCCGAGACUCUCCCUUCGCACCCACAAGCACUACAUUGUUUUCUCAGCCCGCUCCAGCUUUCAUUCACGUAGUCAACUUAUAUAGGCAUUACAAGAGUAUCUCCACUACCAACU
Triticum dicoccoides is the source of this 433-nucleotide long non-coding RNA. RefSeq lists it as uncharacterized. NCBI's taxonomy places the organism in Eukaryota, Viridiplantae, Streptophyta, Magnoliopsida, Poales, Poaceae. The record is from RefSeq and is a predicted model, not a curated record. The transcript has 3 exons.